GGAAGUAAAAGUCAUAACAAGGUUUCCGUAGGUGAACCUGCGGAAGGAUCAUUAUUGUAUAACCGAGGUGCGAGGGCUGUCGCUGACCCGAAAGGUCGUGCACGCCCGAGUGCCCUCACACACAUCCAUCUCGCCCCUAUGUGCACCACCGCGUGGGUCCCCCUUUGGCUUGUUCGGAGGGGGGCUUACGUUUUCACACAAACUUUGUAUGCAGUGUAGAAUGUAUUUUUUGUUUUUGCGAUCACGCAAUCAAUACGACUUUCAACAACGGAUCUCUUGGCUCUC
This 285-nucleotide unclassified non-coding RNA is filed under the name plant metagenome. Its description in RNAcentral is "partial contains small subunit ribosomal RNA, internal transcribed spacer 1, and 5.8S ribosomal RNA". The stretch from base 1 to 54 matches the Rfam family "Eukaryotic small subunit ribosomal RNA", at positions 1778 to 1831 of the family's 1831-position model. The record is from RNAcentral.